GGAUCUUCUCGCUGCCGAUGUACCCCUCGCUCGCCCCCGACCUCCAGGACAAGGUCAUCCACGCCGUACGCGAGGUGCUCGCCACUCUGUGACUGUCCGUCAACUCUCUUAUCGCAUCGCGUCGUUCACCGAGUCACUGGAGCAGAAGUGAAAGCACGCCCGCUCACCGUCGAGGGAGCCGUCGAGUUCACCCCCCGCGUCUUCCCCGACGACAGGGGCAAGUUCGUCUCGCCGUACCAGGAAGCGACGUUCACCGAGGCCCACGGCACCCCGCUCUUCCCCGUGGCGCAGACCAACCACAGCGUGUCCCGGCGAGGUGUCGUACGCGGCGUCCACUACACGGCGACGCCCCCGGGCACCGCCAAGUACGUCUACUGCGCCCGAGGCCGCGCCCUGGACAUCGUCGUCGACAUCCGCGUCGGCUCGCCCACCUUCGGCCGCUGGGACGCGGUGCUGAUGGACCAGCUGGAUCACCGGGCCAGCUAUUUUCCCGUCGGGGUCGGCCAUGCCUUCGUGGCCCUGGAGGACGACACCGACAUGUCGUACAUGCUCUCCGGGCGCUAUGUCGCCGAGCACGAACUCUCCCUGUCCGCCCUGGACCCGGACCUCGGGCUGCCGAUCCCCACGGACCUCGAACCGAUCCUCUCCGAACGCGACCGCGCGGCCGUCACCCUCGCCGAGGCCCAGGAGAAGGGCCUGCUGCCGGACUACGCCCGCUGCCAGGAGAUCGAGCGGGGACUCGUCCCCCGCGCGAGGCCGGCGGCGUAGCCCCGCACCGACGAGGCAUUUCACUCCCCUUCUCACUCCCUUUCUCACUGUCGAUCGAUCCGAAAGGCCGUUCCCAUGACCGACUCCACCCAGACCCUGCCCGUGCCGGAAGCCGUCGGUGAGCUGUACGACCGGCUGACGCUGAGCGCGAUGAACGACGGCUCGUUCAACCCCAAUGUGCACAUCGGCUAUUGGGACACCCCGGGCUCCGAGGCCACCAUCGAGGAGGCGAUGGACCGGCUCACCGAUGUGUUCAUCGAACGGCUGAACGCGUACGCCACCUCCCACGUCCUCGACCUCGGCUGCGGGGUGGGCGGGCCCGGCCUCAGGGUCGUGGCGCGCACCGGGGCACGGGUCACCGGCAUCAGCAUCAGCGAGGAGCAGAUCAGGACCGCCAACCGGCUGGCCGCCGAGGCCGGGGUCGCCGACCGUGCCGUGUUCCAGCAUGGCGACGCGAUGAAACUGCCCUUCGCCGACGCCUCGUUCGACGCCGUGAUGGCGCUGGAGUCGAUCUGCCACAUGCCCGACCGGCAGCAGGUGUUCACCGAGGUGUGCCGGGUGCUGCGCCCCGGGGGCCGGAUCGUCCUCACCGACAUCUUCGAGCGCCACCCGCGCAAGGCGGUACGACACCCCGGCAUCGACAAGUUCUGCCGCGACCUGAUGUCGACCACGGCGGACAUCGACGACUACGUGGCGCUGCUGCACCGCUCCGGGCUGCGGCUGCGCGAGAUCGUCGACGUCACCGAGCAGACCACGCUGCGCCUCGCCGACGAGAUCGGCAGGCUCGCGGCCGUCGAGGAGCGCCCCGUGGCCAUGGACGAGGGCAACUUCGCCUUCGGCGACGACUCCUUCAAGCCGUCCGACCUGGCGGGCGUCGACGACUUCGGCUGCCUCCUGGUCACCGCCGAGCGCCCCUGACCCGCUGAAACGCCGGGAGGUCAGGCGCACCUGCCCUCCCGGCGCCCGUCCCCCGGGUCGCGAGCGCAUUGCAUCCCCCGUGCCGCGAGCCCACGCAUUCCCCGGGCCACGAGCCCACGCGUCCGCGACACGGACCCACAAGGAGAGGCAAGAACGAGAUGACGCAUUCCGGUGAGCGGACCGAUGUGCUGAUCGUGGGCGGCGGCCCGGUCGGGAUGGCGCUGGCGCUGGAUCUGAGGUACCGGGGCAUCGACUGUCUGGUCGUCGACGCCGGUGACGGCACGGUCCGGCACCCCAAGGUCAGCACCAUCGGUCCCCGCUCGAUGGAACUCUUCCGCCGCUGGGGCGCCGCGGACGCGAUCCGGAACGCCGGCUGGCCCGCCGACCAUCCCCUGGACAUCGCCUGGGUGACCAAGGUCGGCGGCCACGAAGAUCC
This 2122-nucleotide unclassified non-coding RNA is filed under the name unidentified. RNAcentral describes it as "2.1 KB REGION". The record is from RNAcentral.